GACGAACGCUGGCGGCGUGCUUAACACAUGCAAGUCGAGCGGUAAGGCCCUUUCGGGGGUACACGAGCGGCGAACGGGUGAGUAACACGUGGGUGACCUGCCCUCAGCUCUGGGAUAAGCCUGGGAAACCGGGUCUAAUACCGGAUAUGACUCCAUGACGCAUGUUGUGGGGUGGAAAGCCUUGUGCGGCUGAGGAUGGGCCCGCGGCCUAUCAGCUUGUUGGUGGGGUGAUGGCCUACAAGGCGACGACGGGUAGCCGGCCUGAGAGGGCGACCGGCCACACUGGGACUGAGACACGGCCCAGACUCCUACGGGAGGCAGCAGGUGGGGAAUCUUGCGCAAUGGGCGAAAGCCUGACGCAGCGACGCCGCGUGAGGGAUGACGG
Molecule: ribosomal RNA, 385 nt
Filed under: uncultured bacterium
Lineage: Bacteria
Description: bacterial SSU rRNA
Rfam family: Bacterial small subunit ribosomal RNA
Source: RNAcentral